RNAcentral lists this ribosomal RNA (134 nucleotides) under Heyndrickxia coagulans. RNAcentral's name for it is "Bacillus coagulans partial 16S ribosomal RNA". It matches the Rfam family "Bacterial small subunit ribosomal RNA", at positions 28 to 154 of the family's 1533-position model. The record is from RNAcentral. Lineage: Bacteria; Bacillati; Bacillota; Bacilli; Caryophanales; Bacillaceae.
GACGAACGCUGGCGGCGUGCCUAAUACAUGCAAGUCGUGCGGGCCUUGUUAAAAGCUUGCUUUUAACAAGGCUAGCGGCGGACGGGUGAGUAACACGUGGGCAACCUGCCUGUAAGACCGGGAUAACGCCGGGA